Molecule: microRNA, 19 nt
Filed under: Corchorus capsularis
Lineage: Eukaryota; Viridiplantae; Streptophyta; Magnoliopsida; Malvales; Malvaceae
Description: sRNA CCACVL1_26849
Source: RNAcentral
UCACCACCUUCAUCUUCAA